AGCAGAAGUGGGUCAACAACAGCCUUGAGAGAGACUUCUGACUCAUGUGAACAUAUGUGUGUGACGUCAGCAGGGUUACAGCGUUGACAAGGUUAUUUUCAUUCAAUGUUAUUCGCUUGUGCUCAUCAGUUCUUGGCAGUGAACACAGAAGUGCAGACGCCGUGUCCUUUCACUUACCAGCUGCGCUUUGUCAAACCUGCCAUCCGCUCGGCUGCUCGCACUGGACACGAUUAAAGACAUUCAAGAUAUAUAUUCGCUAAAAACAACACACACUGAAUGCAUCUAGUUUUAAGCACUAUAUUACUGAAAACAGUGCAUAUACAAACACAUAAGUUUCAUAUUUUAAGCACAAAAACAUUCUUUCCAAUGAUGCAGAACAUUAACAUAAAUUCUGUGCUGUUUUCCUCUGUAGGGUUGAAGUUAAAGUCCCGGAGCAUCUCAUCAUACAGAAGAACAACAGAAGAUGUGGCCGUCGAGUGCAGAAGAACAUGUGUCUGUCCCCGACUGAUCCAUACUCGGGCAUUCUCACUACCGGCGUUACCGUAGAUACAGAUGAGCACUGGUGCUCUCAGAUCAACAGACUGCAACAGCUCAUCGACAAACUGGAGUGUCAGGUGAAUACACUCAAAUAUCCACUCACACAGAAUAUUCUUUCUGUCUUGAGCAUGUGUUUUAAUAUAUCAUGUUCCAAGCCAAUUUUCAUUUGCUUUUCAUUUUUAGAGUCCAAAGUUGGAGCCGCUGAAAGAAGAUACACUGGCCAGCACGUACAAGUCGAACAUUCUGCUGGUGCAGAGACAGAUGAGCGUGACAGAGAAUGAUCUCGAGGAGUUCCAGAAGGCUCUGAAGACCUACGCCGACACCACCGCCAAUCAGAACGACAACCUCCAGUGAGAAAAACACAACACACCAGUUAUUUAUAUAUAAUGACCUUAUAAAGGCUUCCUGUAAAGCUUGACAUAGUCAGAAAAAAUAUAAGUUUUUGAAAUGGAACAGUUCAGAAUAGAACAGAACAGAAAAAAUAUAUUUUAUAUAUCAGGCUUUUAUGACUCAUAGUGAGAAUAUGGAGGGA
RNAcentral lists this long non-coding RNA (1069 nucleotides) under Sinocyclocheilus grahami. RNAcentral's name for it is "lncRNA (ENSSGRG00000027004.1)". The record is from RNAcentral. Lineage: Eukaryota; Metazoa; Chordata; Actinopteri; Cypriniformes; Cyprinidae.